Molecule: long non-coding RNA, 198 nt
Organism: Scleropages formosus (Asian bonytongue)
Lineage: Eukaryota; Metazoa; Chordata; Actinopteri; Osteoglossiformes; Osteoglossidae
Exons: 4
Source: RefSeq, a predicted model, not a curated record
CUGGGCAUUAGUGUGGCAGUGGCAGUGGUGUUGGCUGUUAUGUUUGUCAGGUUUAGAAAACAAAGAAAAAACGCUGACAACUUCUCGACUACAAACCUCUGCAUCGACAGCAACACGACAGAGGAGAAUUCAUUCCAGAGAGAAACCAGAAAUUCGGAUCAGAGCUCUCAUGGUACAAGAUGGACCCAUAAGCAGAAA